GAUGAUCUUUGAGAGCUUGAUGUCGUACGUGAGCUAGGACGACUUUGAUGCUCACCCACAUUCCCAGAAGAAUCAUAUCCGCUUCU
Non-coding RNA from Caenorhabditis elegans, 86 nucleotides. Lineage: Eukaryota; Metazoa; Nematoda; Chromadorea; Rhabditida; Rhabditidae. The record is from Ensembl.